This 621-nucleotide ribosomal RNA is filed under the name Libnetis sp. UPOL A00581. RNAcentral describes it as "eukaryotic LSU rRNA". It matches the Rfam family "Eukaryotic large subunit ribosomal RNA", at positions 674 to 1259 of the family's 3401-position model. The record is from RNAcentral. Lineage: Eukaryota; Metazoa; Arthropoda; Insecta; Coleoptera; Lycidae.
UCCGAUGGUGCGCGAGUCACUGGGACUAUGUAAACCUAAAGGCGAAUUGAAAGCGAAGGCGGGCCUAGCGCCCGCCGAGGGAGGAUGGGCCCCGUCCAGUCGGGGCCCCGCACUCCCGGGGCGUCUCGUUCUCAUCGCGAGAUGAGGCGCACCCAGAGCGCACGCGCCGGGACCCGAAAGAUGGUGAACUAUGCCUGGUCAGGACGAAGUCAGGGGAAACCCUGAUGGAGGUCCGAAGCGAUUCUGACGUGCAAAUCGAUCGUCGGAACUGGGUAUAGGGGCGAAAGACUAAUCGAACCGUCUAGUAGCUGGUUCCCUCCGAAGUUUCCCUCAGGAUAGCUGGCGCUCGUCUAACGAGUCUCAUCUGGUAAAGCGAAUGAUUAGAGGCAUUGGGGUCGAAACGGCCUCAACCUAUUCUCAAACUUUAAAUGGGUGAGAUCUCCGGCUUGCUUAAACGCUGAAGCCGCGAGAUCGGAUCAGAGUGCCAAGUGGGCCAAUUUUGGUAAGCAGAACUGGCGCUGUGGGAUGAACCAAACGCGGAGUUAAAGCUCCUAAAUCCACGCUCAUGGGAUACCAUGAAAGGCGUUGGUAACUUAAGACAGCAGGACGGUGGCCAUGGAA